RNAcentral lists this long non-coding RNA (604 nucleotides) under Homo sapiens (human). RNAcentral describes it as "HSALNT0193177". Lineage: Eukaryota; Metazoa; Chordata; Mammalia; Primates; Hominidae. The record is from RNAcentral.
CGCGCACUCCCGGGCUGGAGUUCGGCGAGGCCUUGGGACUGGCGCUGGAGCCCAGCGUGGGAUGACCGUGCCCCGAAAACAUGCCAGUGAAUGGAAAGAAGCCAAGGUCCCCUCCCUCCCUGCUUAUACCCUCAACUUUGCCAAUGAGGACCCUAAAUACCAGCUGCACUACAGGGGAUGUAACUACAUACACCGUCACCAAAGUUGCAGCCUGGCCAAGAAAUGCCAGGGGACGUCGCGGCGAUUGCAGACUCCGCGGUGACUGUGUAGAUACGUCCAGAAUUCGCCCUUGUAGCGCGGGGAGAGGCGAGAGUGAAGGCCUAGAAAAAAAGAAGAAUAAAUGGGACAUUACACAAGAGACCACCCAUUGAAUUACUGUUCUGAAGUCAUCCCUCAACCACCUGGAGUAGACCAAAGGCAACAGAAACCAAGAGGAGAAAGUUUGAGCCUUGCCAUAUCAAUAUUGGGUACUGAACGAGGAAAAAACUCAAGAUAAUUACUAACAACCUGGGACUCCUGGGGAAAAACAGAGAUGGCACCACAGACCCCAUUCUGGGAAAAACUUCUUUUCCUCAUGGAACCCCAGGAAUUGAAAACAAUAAAU